Long non-coding RNA from Ictalurus punctatus (channel catfish), 1030 nucleotides. The record is from Ensembl. NCBI's taxonomy places the organism in Eukaryota, Metazoa, Chordata, Actinopteri, Siluriformes, Ictaluridae.
CCACCCUUAUUCUCCUCAUCUCUCUCUCUCCUCCACCGCUCUGUUGCAUUCAGGUAUUCCCAUCACAUACGCCCACACUUAACUCGAUUUUGCAAUACCAACAUAGUGCUUACCAGCCGCCUCCACUCACCCUUUUUUCUUUCGUGUCUUCUCAGAUUCCCUUGCCCUUCCCUUGAGGGCUGUCUGGAGAUUCCACACCUCAGAGCAGUAAGACGCAUGUGGGCACUGCAGCGUGGGCUAGGCCUUUAUCAGCUCAGCCUGUCAACAUUUUCUUUGAUGUAGGGCAGAAGGGAAAAAGUGAUGGGAUAUCAGGAAAGUUAUUAAGGACAUGAAAUUCAGAUUGUGAGACAGGGAGAGAAUAAAAGUGAAGGAUCCAGAAAGCUAACUGUGGGCAGGUGGUGUUGAACAGGGACUGUCCCUUCAUCUGUUGGUGGCUGUUUCUCCCUCAUCAAUUGCCAUCAUGUUUAAUCACCACUGCAGUGGCGCAAACACAGCCAGCCGUGCCUCCUCUGUCAUCCUGGUGCGGGGGAGAGAGGAAAUCCUAUUUACUCCAGUGCAGGAGGGGCUACGGCUCAACACGCUCGUUUUUACAAGCUCAGAUAGGGGAAAUAACAGAGAAAAGAGGCACAAGCAUUGGGAAUAGCCACUACAACAGUUUGGAAUGUCCUGAAAGAGUGCAAAACCACUGGUGUACUAGCAACAAGACAUGGAACCAGUCGCCCAAGGUAAAGAACAGCAGUUGAUGACAGAAACAUUGAGAAAGCUGUGAAGAAAAGUCCAAAAACAACAGUCAGGAACAACAUCCACAGGGCAGGUGUCAAGGUAUCACAAUCCACCGUUCUAAGAAGACUUCGAGAGCGCAAAUAUAGACGCCAUACCACACAGACUGAAGAGGUUUUAAAAAGCUGCUUUAUUGUUUUUGCUGUGGAUAUUUUUGUUUAUUAGGCUACUAGUUAAGACCUUAGGCCUUGAUCACAUCUGGUAUUCACAUCCUUCUCGAGUGAUUCGCUCACAAGUGGACAGCCGAAAC